AACGAACGCUGGCGGCAUGCCUAACACAUGCAAGUCGAACGAGAUCUUCGGAUCUAGUGGCGCACGGGUGCGUAACGCGUGGGAAUCUGCCCCUUGCUUCGGAAUAACAGUGAGAAAUUACUGCUAAUACCGGAUGAUGUCUCCGGACCAAAGAUUUAUCGGCAAGGGAUGAGCCCGCGUAGGAUUAGGUAGUUGGUGGGGUAAUGGCCUACCAAGCCGACGAUCCUUAGCUGGUCUGAGAGGAUGAUCAGCCACACUGGGACUGAGACACGGCCCAGACUCCUACGGGAGGCAGCAGUGGGGAAUAUUGGACAAUGGGCGAAAGCCUGACCCAGCAAUGCCGCGUGAGUGAUGAAGGCCUUAGGGUUGUAAAGCUCUUUUACCAGGGAUGAUAAUGACAGUACCUGGAGAAUAAGCUCCGGCUAACUCCGU
RNAcentral lists this ribosomal RNA (432 nucleotides) under uncultured bacterium. RNAcentral's name for it is "partial 16S ribosomal RNA". It matches the Rfam family "Bacterial small subunit ribosomal RNA", at positions 29 to 506 of the family's 1533-position model. The record is from RNAcentral.